AUUGAACGCUGGCGGCAGGCCUAACACAUGCAAGUCGAGCGGAUGAAGGGAGCUUGCUCCUGGAUUCAGCGGCGGACGGGUGAGUAAUGCCUAGGAAUCUGCCUGGUAGUGGGGGAUAACGUCCGGAAACGGGCGCUAAUACCGCAUACGUCCUGAGGGAGAAAGUGGGGGAUCUUCGGACCUCACGCUAUCAGAUGAUCCUAGGUCGGAUUAGCUAGUUGGUGGGGUAAAGGCCUACCAAGGCGACGAUCCGUAACUGGUCUGAGAGGAUAAUCAGUCACACUGGAACUGAGACACGGUCCAGACUCCUACGGGAGGCAGCAGUGGGGAAUAUUGGACAAUGGGCGAAAGCCUGAUCCAGCCAUGCCGCGUGUGUGAAGAAGGUCUUCGGAUUGUAAAGCACUUUAAGUUGGGAGGAAGGGCAGUAAGUUAAUACCUUGCUGUUUUGACGUUACCAACAGAAUAAGCACCGGCUAACUUCGUG
Molecule: ribosomal RNA, 484 nt
Filed under: uncultured bacterium
Lineage: Bacteria
Description: partial 16S ribosomal RNA
Rfam family: Bacterial small subunit ribosomal RNA
Source: RNAcentral